This 645-nucleotide ribosomal RNA is filed under the name uncultured bacterium. Its description in RNAcentral is "bacterial SSU rRNA". It matches the Rfam family "Bacterial small subunit ribosomal RNA", at positions 232 to 885 of the family's 1533-position model. The record is from RNAcentral.
CGCGGCCUAUCAGCUUGUUGGUGAGGUAACGGCUCACCAAGGCAACGACGGGUAGCUGGUCUGAGAGGACGAUCAGCCACACUGGGACUGAGACACGGCCCAGACUCCUACGGGAGGCAGCAGCAGGGAAUAUUGCACAAUGGGCGCAAGCCUGAUGCAGCGACGCCGCGUGAGGGAUGAAGGCCCUCGGGUUGUAAACCUCUUUCAGGAGGGACGAAGCGAAAGUGACGGUACCUCCAGAAGAAGCCCCGGCCAACUACGUGCCAGCAGCCGCGGUAAUACGUAGGGGGCGAGCGUUGUCCGGAUGCAUUGGGCGUAAAGAGCUCGUAGGCGGCUCAGUAAGUCGGCCGUGAAAGCCCGGAGCUCAACUCCGGGACGCCGGUCGAUACUGCUGUGGCUAGGGUCCGGUAGAGGAGAGUGGAAUUCCCGGUGUAGCGGUGAAAUGCGCAGAUAUCGGGAGGAACACCAGUAGCGAAGGCGGCUCUCUGGGCCGGUACCGACGCUGAGGAGCGAAAGCUAGGGGAGCAAACAGGAUUAGAUACCCUGGUAGUCCUAGCCGUAAACGUCGGGCACUAGGUGUGGCGGAUUCAUUGACAUCUGCCGUGCCGGCGCUAACGCAUUAAGUGCCCCGCCUGGGGAGUACGG